CAGUGCCUGUGGGACAUCCUCCAAGGGGGUGCCCCGCGCCUGGCCACCCGUGUCUCCUUAACCUCAGUUGCUUCGGCGGGCCCGUCCACCAGGACCGCCGGGGGAGCGUACCCACGCGCCCCUGGCCAGCGCCCGCCGGGGGACCCCUAGAACUCGUGUGAAGCAGUGUCGUCUGAGUGGAUUGUGUAAAUGAAAAUA
RNAcentral lists this unclassified non-coding RNA (198 nucleotides) under uncultured Ascomycota. RNAcentral's name for it is "sequence contains ITS1". The record is from RNAcentral. Lineage: Eukaryota; Fungi; Ascomycota.